This 1359-nucleotide ribosomal RNA is filed under the name Triticum aestivum (bread wheat). RNAcentral describes it as "partial small subunit ribosomal RNA". Lineage: Eukaryota; Viridiplantae; Streptophyta; Magnoliopsida; Poales; Poaceae. The record is from RNAcentral.
AUGCUCUCCGUGUCUAAACCCCUUCUCUCCCCGACCUCCCUUGCUGCCAUGGCUAUUCGGCUGCCGCCGACGCCGCAUGCACCAACCCACUACGCCCCGCCUCACAGGCGGACAUCGCCAUUCCGCCCCGUCAUGCGAGCGGCUCCUUCUUCUUCCACCGCCGCAACGGCCGUCUCAUUGCCGCCAUCUCCCAAGAAGGUUCUUGUGCCCAUUGCCAUGGGCACAGAGGAAAUGGAGGCAGUCAUCCUAGCCGGCGUCCUCAGGCGAGCAGGCGCUGACGUAACGCUGGCCUCUGUGGAGGACGGCCUCGAGAUUGAGGCUUCCUAUGGGACGCGCAUCAUCGCAGACAAGCCCAUUGCAGCGUGUGCAGACCAGGUGUUCGACCUUGUGGCUGUCCCGGGAGGAAUGCCUGGUUCAGUACGGCUGAGAGAUAACGAGAUCCUUCAGAGAAUUAUGGUUAGACAAGCUGAAGAGAAAAGAUUGUAUGGUGCUAUAUGUGCUGCACCAGCUGUUGUUCUCAUGCCCUGGGGUCUUCACAAGGGAAGAAAGAUCACCUGUCACCCGUCCUUCAUAGGAGAUCUUCCAACAUUCCGAGCUGUUGAGUCAAAUGUUCAGGUUUCAGGAGAGCUCACUACUAGUCGUGGUCCUGGGACAGCAUUUCAGUUUGCUUUAUCAUUUGUCGAGCAAUUGUUUGGGCCUCACGCUGUUGAAGAUGUGGACAGUACUUUGAUUGAUGCUGCUCUUGAAAGAAGUACAGAAGUCAACAGAGUUGAAUGGCCUUUUGAUCACAAACCUCAGGUUCUCAUUCCAAUUGCAAAUGGGUCUGAGGAGAUGGAGAUCAUAAUGUUGGUGGAUAUUUUAAGACGGGCAAACAUAAAUGUGGUGUUGGCAUCAGUUGACGAGUCCACAAAUAUUGUUGGGUCUCAAAGAAUGAAGAUUGUUGCUGAUAAAUGCAUAUUGGAUGCUUCUGAUUCAAAAUAUGAUCUAAUCAUUAUUCCUGGGGGACAUGCUGGAGCUGAGCGUCUUCACAGGUCUACCACUCUUAAAAAGCUACUCAAGGAACAGAAGCAAGCAAGCAGGAUGUAUGGUGGGAUCAGUUAUUCUCCAUUGAUAUUGCAGAAGCAAGGUUUACUCGAGGAUAAAACAGUGACUGCUCAUCCUUCCAUAGUCAAUCAGCUCACUUGCCAGGUUAUUGACGGUUCAAAGGUUGUGAUUGACGGAAAUUUGAUUACUGGGAAGGGACUCGGAACAGUCAUGGAUUUUUCCCUGGCCAUUGUAAGAAAAUUCUUUGGCCAUGGACGAGCGAAAAGUGUGGCAAAUGGAAUGGUUUUUGACUACCCCAAGAACAGAAACGCCUAG